AACGAACGCUGGCGGCAUGCCUAACACAUGCAAGUCGAACGAGACCUUCGGGUCUAGUGGCGCACGGGUGCGUAACGCGUGGGAACCUGCCCUUAGGUUCGGAAUAACUCCCCGAAAGGGGUGCUAAUACCGGAUAAUGUCUUCGGACCAAAGAUUUAUCGCCUUUGGAUGGGCCCGCGUUGGAUUAGCUAGUUGGUAGGGUAAAAGCCUACCAAGGCGACGAUCCAUAGCUGGUCUGAGAGGAUGAUCAGCCACACUGGGCUGAGACACGGCCCAAACUCCUACGGGAGGCAGCAGUGGGGAAUAUUGGACAAUGGGCGAAAGCCUGAUCCAGCAAUGCCGCGUGAGUGAUGAAGGCCUUAGGGUUGUAAAGCUCUUUUACCCGGGAUGAUAAUGACAGUACCGGGAGAAUAAGCUCCGGCUAACUCCGUG
Molecule: ribosomal RNA, 432 nt
Filed under: uncultured bacterium
Lineage: Bacteria
Description: partial 16S ribosomal RNA
Rfam family: Bacterial small subunit ribosomal RNA
Source: RNAcentral